Transfer RNA from Fonticula alba, 67 nucleotides. It matches the Rfam family "tRNA". From Rfam's summary of the family: Transfer RNA (tRNA) molecules are approximately 80 nucleotides in length. The record is from Rfam. NCBI's taxonomy places the organism in Eukaryota, Rotosphaerida, Fonticulaceae.
GAGUUUAUAGCUCAACGGCUAGAGCAAGUAUAUACACCUGAUAUGGGUUCGAAUCCCAUUAAACUCC